GGUUAAGCGACUAAGCGUACACGGUGGAUGCCCUGGCAGUCAGAGGCGAUGAAGGACGUGCUAAUCUGCGAAAAGCGUCGGUAAGGUGAUAUGAACCGUUACAGCCGGCGAUGUCCGAAUGGGGAAACCCAGUGUGAUUCGUCACACUAUCGUUAACUGAAUACAUAGGUUAACGAGGCGAACCGGGGGAACUGAAACAUCUAAGUACCCCGAGGAAAAGAAAUCAACCGAGAUUCCCCCAGUAGCGGCGAGCGAACGGGGAGCAGCCCAGAGUCUGAAUCAGCUUGUGUGUUAGUGGAACGGUCUGGAAAGUCCGACGGUACAGGGUGAUAGUCCCGUACACCAAAAUGCACAGGCUGUGAACUCGAAGAGUAGGGCGGGACACGUGGUAUCCUGUCUGAAUAUGGGGGGACCAUCCUCCAAGGCUAAAUACUCCUGACUGACCGAUAGUGAACCAGUACCGUGAGGGAAAGGCGAAAAGAACCCCGGCGAGGGGAGUGAAAAAGAACCUGAAACCGUGUACGUACAAGCAGUGGGAGCACCUUCGGGUGUGACUGCGUACCUUUUGUAUAAUGGGUCAGCGACUUAUAUUCUGUAGCAAGGUUAACCGUAUAGGGGAGCCGCAGGGAAACCGAGUCUUAACUGGGCGUUAAGUUGCAGGGUAUAGACCCGAAACCCGGUGAUCUAGCCAUGGGCAGGUUGAAGGUUGGGUAACACUAACUGGAGGACCGAACCGACUAAUGUUGAAAAAUUAGCGGAUGACUUGUGGCUGGGGGUGAAAGGCCAAUCAAACCGGGAGAUAGCUGGUUCUCCCCGAAAGCUAUUUAGGUAGCGCCUCGUGAAUUCAUCUUCGGGGGUAGAGCACUGUUUCGGCUAGGGGGUCAUCCCGACUUACCAACCCGAUGCAAACUACGAAUACCGAAGAAUGUUAUCACGGGAGACACACGGCGGGUGCUAACGUCCGUCGUGAAGAGGGAAACAACCCAGACCGCCAGCUAAGGUCCCAAAGUCAUGGUUAAGUGGGAAACGAUGUGGGAAGGCACAGACAGCCAGGAUGUUGGCUUAGAAGCAGCCAUCAUUUAAAGAAAGCGUAAUAGCUCACUGGUCGAGUCGGCCUGCGCGGAAGAUGUAACGGGGCUAAACCAUGCACCGAAGCUGCGGCAGCGACACUAUGUGUUGUUGGGUAGGGGAGCGUUCUGUAAGCCUGCGAAGGUGACCUGUGAGGGUUGCUGGAGGUAUCAGAAGUGCGAAUGCUGACAUAAGUAACGAUAAAGCGGGUGAAAAGCCCGCUCGCCGGAAGACCAAGGGUUCCUGUCCAACGUUAAUCGGGGCAGGGUGAGUCGACCCCUAAGGCGAGGCCGAAAGGCGUAGUCGAUGGGAAACAGGUUAAUAUUCCUGUACUUGGUGUUACUGCGAAGGGGGGACGGAGAAGGCUAUGUUAGCCGGGCGACGGUUGUCCCGGUUUAAGCAUGUAGGCUGAUUGUCCAGGCAAAUCCGGAUAAUCAAGGCUGAGGUGUGAUGACGAGGCACUACGGUGCUGAAGUAACAAAUGCCCUGCUUCCAGGAAAAGCCUCUAAGCAUCAGGUAACAUUAAAUCGUACCCCAAACCGACACAGGUGGUCAGGUAGAGAAUACCAAGGCGCUUGAGAGAACUCGGGUGAAGGAACUAGGCAAAAUGGUGCCGUAACUUCGGGAGAAGGCACGCUGGUGUGUAGGUGAAGUCCCUGCGGAUGGAGCUGAGACCAGUCGAAGAUACCAGCUGGCUGCAACUGUUUAUUAAAAACACAGCACUGUGCAAACACGAAAGUGGACGUAUACGGUGUGACGCCUGCCCGGUGCCGGAAGGUUAAUUGAUGGGGUUAUCCGUAAGGAGAAGCUCUUGAUCGAAGCCCCGGUAAACGGCGGCCGUAACUAUAACGGUCCUAAGGUAGCGAAAUUCCUUGUCGGGUAAGUUCCGACCUGCACGAAUGGCGUAAUGAUGGCCAGGCUGUCUCCACCCGAGACUCAGUGAAAUUGAACUCGCUGUGAAGAUGCAGUGUACCCGCGGCAAGACGGAAAGACCCCGUGAACCUUUACUAUAGCUUGACACUGAACAUUGAGCCUUGAUGUGUAGGAUAGGUGGGAGGCUUUGAAGCGUGGACGCCAGUCUGCGUGGAGCCAACCUUGAAAUACCACCCUUUAAUGUUUGAUGUUCUAACGUUGGCCCCUUACCGGGGUUGCGGACAGUGUCUGGUGGGUAGUUUGACUGGGGCGGUCUCCUCCCAAAGCGUAACGGAGGAGCACGAAGGUUAGCUAAUCCUGGUCGGACAUCAGGAGGUUAGUGCAAUGGCAUAAGCUAGCUUGACUGCGAGCGUGACGGCGCGAGCAGGUGCGAAAGCAGGUCAUAGUGAUCCGGUGGUUCUGAAUGGAAGGGCCAUCGCUCAACGGAUAAAAGGUACUCCGGGGAUAACAGGCUGAUACCGCCCAAGAGUUCAUAUCGACGGCGGUGUUUGGCACCUCGAUGUCGGCUCAUCACAUCCUGGGGCUGAAGUAGGUCCCAAGGGUAUGGCUGUUCGCCAUUUAAAGUGGUACGCGAGCUGGGUUUAGAACGUCGUGAGACAGUUCGGUCCCUAUCUGCCGUGGGCGCUGGAGAAUUGAGGGGGGCUGCUCCUAGUACGAGAGGACCGGAGUGGACGCAUCACUGGUGUUCGGGUUGUCAUGCCAAUGGCACUGCCCGGUAGCUAAAUGCGGAAGAGAUAAGUGCUGAAAGCAUCUAAGCACGAAACUUGCCCCGAGAUGAGUUCUCACUGAGACUUUAAGUCUCCUGAAGGAACGUUAAAGACGAUGACGUUGAUAGGCCGGGUGUGUAAGCGCAGCGAUGCGUUGAGCUAACCGGUACUAAUGAACCGUGAGGCUUAACCUU
RNAcentral lists this ribosomal RNA (2902 nucleotides) under Klebsiella pneumoniae. RNAcentral's name for it is "23S ribosomal RNA". It matches the Rfam family "Bacterial large subunit ribosomal RNA". Lineage: Bacteria; Pseudomonadati; Pseudomonadota; Gammaproteobacteria; Enterobacterales; Enterobacteriaceae. The record is from RNAcentral.